AAUAGAUGACGCCGUUGACUUUUUCUCACAUGUUUGAUCAUUCGUCUUUUUCAAAAAAUUUACGUAAUUAUAAUUUAUUUUGUUAUGAGUUGUUUUAUCACUCAUAUUACUUUAAGUGUGAUUUAUAUCUUAUACAUUUGCAUAAAAUGUUUUGAAUAAGACGAAUGGUCAAACACGUGAGAAAAAGUUAACGGCGUCAUCUAUU
This 205-nucleotide microRNA precursor is filed under the name Oryza sativa Indica Group (long-grained rice). RNAcentral describes it as "MIR812 microRNA precursor family". It matches the Rfam family "MIR812 microRNA precursor family". The record is from Rfam by way of RNAcentral. Lineage: Eukaryota; Viridiplantae; Streptophyta; Magnoliopsida; Poales; Poaceae.